Molecule: long non-coding RNA, 540 nt
Organism: Spea bombifrons (plains spadefoot toad)
Lineage: Eukaryota; Metazoa; Chordata; Amphibia; Anura; Pelobatidae
Exons: 2
Source: RefSeq, a predicted model, not a curated record
GUGACGGAUCCCACCAGCUUCAGCCAGCGGAUGAACCCUCUGGGUCUUCACAAACAUCCUUACACUCUAGUGCCCAAGAAGAAAUCAUUUCAAUAAUUGUGGGUUCAGAAGAUGGGCCAUCAACGUCGUCAGCUUCUCGUCCUCAGUCUUCUGCUGUUUCUUCUUCUCCCUCUGGGAAACUGGAUGCUGUUGUAGAUAAAACCACAGAACAACUUAGCAAGAUUUCAGAGCUGAUUUUGUCCCAGACAAAUCUGAAAGCCACACAACAUUCAGAGAUCAUGGAUGCAUUACACGGUAUUCGUAGUGAUUUAGCUGAAUUAAGGCACCAGAGCCAGAUUUCAAAUGAAGUGAAAAACCAGAAAAGACUGGACAGUAAAUUAUUCCGCAGCCAACUUUUGCAAUUAAAAAGAGAAAAAUUGGAUAUAUUGCGAUUAAAAUACGGCCUCGGCGUUCCUAGUUCAUCCAAACCAAUCCAUGAACAGAAGGAGGAAGAAAUGUCCAUAAAGGAAGAGGAAUUUUCUUCCCCCCAAAUUAAGAAAA